CCCUUCCUGGGGGGCUGCACAGAUCUUCCUGACCUCCUGGAUUUUGGGUUGCAAGGUGCUAUGCUUGGGCUGAUGCUGACCUUGGAAAUUUUGCCACCACCUCUUCUGGGACCUGGCCAGAGCCCCGGGCAUCUUCCAGUGUUGUCCUUUCCUUCCUGAGCAGCAGCCUCUGAGCUCAGCAGGCAGGAUUAUUGAUUCAACACGCUGAUUGUGUCCUGUGUGAAUUCAUCUCCUGAACACCUGCACCAGGAGACUGGGCUCCAUGUUUUUGCCCCCCUCCCACUGGCGUCCCGAAUUUUUUUUGAAUUGCAAGAAGAUGCUUCUGCUCAUGGAAACUUGGCGGGUGAUGGGGCCCUUGGAAAUAGGGACCGGAUUUUGUUGUUGUUCAGAGUGAAUCGAAUGGCAUGUGGAGGCCUUGCAAAAACCAGAAUCUUUAUUUCCCGUUGCUCGAGGAGCACGUGAUUAGGGCUGGAUAAAGGACCUCGGUGUCCCUGCUGAUUUCGGUUGUGCUCUCACAACUGUGAGUGCCGUGCCUGUGAAAAGCAAUCGACUUCCCAGCUGUUUCUUAUCACAGAUGUAGCAUGUCAGGAGGAAAAGCCCCAUGUGUGACCUGAGACAUCCCACAUUUCUGAAGUGUCUGAGAUACUUAAUGCUUUUGUCGAACUGAUCCCCAAUCUCUUUUCAUCACGUUGAAGUUAUGGCAUGCUCUGAUGACCACAGAGCCCAUGGCAAUGCUGAGUUCUGGCUGUACGAUUAAACUGUGUGAAGUGCUUCACCCAUUUACGUGACAGUUAUCAUAUGUUUUCUUAUUGGUAUUUACUACUAUGUUACCUCUAUUUCUGCUCAUAAAUGAGCAUGUGGCUGCAAAAGUAGAGAGGGGAGAAGAGAGUGAGUCAAAUUUGUCCUCUUGCCCUACACAGGGAAAAAGAUGUAGUGCAUAGGCACCGAGCCAUUCCUUGUCACACGGUCGGGAUCAUCCUCCGUGAAUAGUUUUCCAUCUAGAAUUUGCUGAUCUGCUUUGCUGGUAUUUUUUUGACCACACUUCUUUGUUUAUUCCCCAACCACUUCAGAUGAGCAAAAAUUGCGCUGGCAAGAACAUUUGUGGGAAAGCAGCAUCACGUUGCAUACUUGUGCGAAUAAAUAUUCACAAGAGAAUCCACGUUGAGAGCGCUUGCACGGCCGCUUGCGAAUUCUCUUCCGAUUACUCACCAAAGAGACUUGUUGAAUGUUUAUAGUUGUUUGGUGGGCAACUGGCAAACAAGUUGGGAAGACUUGUAAUUUGUCUAAGCCUUUGAUGGUCAAGUCUUGGAUAGAAGUGAAAGCAUCUGGCCUGGGUUGACUAAUUGAGUGGCACUGGUAGCCCGGACUCCUAGCAACUCAUUUCUGUCUGUAGCAACUCCAGUUUGUGUGUUCAGGCUAUUCAUCAGAGCUAAAGGCUGGAGAAAUAUGUGGAAGAAUUGCAGUCUGUUUAUAGAUUGUUAUGACUUAAAUUAAGAGCUGGAUUUGCUGGAUAAAUGAACAGAGCAUUAUGUGGCCAACAUUAGGGAAACGUGAAGACUUUACCUUUCAGUUUUGAGUGUUCUUGAAGCAAUUACCAGUUAAUGCCUGUGCCUCUGGAGAGCUGUUACUGAAUGAUGAUUAUCUCUUGGGAGUCCCAAAUUCUCUGCUCUGAGUGCCCUGCACUGAUGGAUACUUUUAUCUGGUUUUCUGCUUCUCUGCUUGCAAAGUACUGGGAAAAGCAGGUGUUGCCUUUGAUACUUGGAUAGAUUGGGCUUCACAACUGAGUAAAUUAUCACUACUUGAUUGCUUGCUCUGUUUUCCUGUAGUGAAGAAGAAAGCACUAAUAAACUGUUCCAGCUGCGGUUCUGUAGGCAAACAUGGGUUUUGGUGGAUGCUUUUUAAAUGGAGGUCAACUGUCAAACAAAAGUUUUCUCAUUCUUUAAGGAUUUGGUUGACAAAGGUAGCUGAAAUAAAGUUGGAUGUUUUCCUGAAGUGCUGGAUGUGUAUCUGGAGAAAGCAAUUAGCAUUUUACAGGAUGAAGCGCACACACCAAAUGGAUUAAGAAUUGGCUGAUACAUCUGAAAGAGUAGUCAUCGUCGGGGAGCCCUCGUGAAAUGAGAGGUUGCUUGUUGGGCUUCGUGGAGCUUGGCGCACUGUUAUUCCAUCAUCUCAUCGGCGACCUAAAGUCAUGAUAAAAUUACUGCUGAUGAAGCUUUUGUACAGCUCACGCUUUGGCUGGCAAGUGCAUAGUGGUGACUAAAGAAGUAAUGCCGUGUAGUCUGGAAGGCUUGGUAAGCUCAGCCCGCGGAAAUGAAACGUGCUUUGAUGCAGAUGUAGCUCUACAUCUGGGAGCAAGGCAGGCAAGCGGUACCGAUGGCACUGCUGGCUGCGCCGCAGAAAUAAAUGCCUUUGUGAACGGCAGAAUGAGCUCCCAGUGUACCAGGCUGGCAAAAAAAGGCCAGCGUGAUGCUGGGAUCUGUAUGCAGGAGAGCCUUGUGUUCCCCCUCCAAACCCUGUGCGUUUGGUCUUUUUUUUUUUUUCCCCUUCAAAAGGAUGUCAAUAAACAGAAGUCAAUGUGGAAGAGGGCUAGAAAAAUUAUUUGAGAGCUGGGGAAAGCAAGAUAUUGAAAAGCUCUUAAUCGACGGAAUUUAUAUAUAUAUAAAAAAAAUGAAGUGACUUGAUAUUUAUGCACUGAUCGUUUUGAGAGAGAAGAUUUUGGAAACAAAAGGAAAAGAUAUAGUGAGAAUCCUAGCUGGAGGCUAAAACCCAACACAUUCAAACUUGGAUGCAAAGCACGUGUUUCUGAGUAUGAAUGCCGCAGAGGAUUUACUGUCUCUUGGUGCUUGUCAAAUCAAGCUUGCGUGCAUGGGGGACGGGUGCUUUUGCCAGGACCCAAAUGAAGCUUUAAUUGAAGGGCUUUAGUUCUUGGCCUUUAUAGAGCCAGGUGAGUGGGUGAAAUGUAAUGGUUGGGGUGAUGCAGGAGGUCAGAACAGAUGAUAUCAUGGUCCUUUCAGGACUCAAAGCUUUAGGAAUAAAUGCAUUUGAAAAUCGUGUUGUAUUCUAGUGGAAAGGACUGGCGUUCCUUGAGAUUAAAAGGAGAGAUUGACUUGC
Long non-coding RNA from Gymnogyps californianus (California condor), 3111 nucleotides. RefSeq lists it as uncharacterized. The record is from RefSeq and is a predicted model, not a curated record. The transcript has 3 exons. NCBI's taxonomy places the organism in Eukaryota, Metazoa, Chordata, Aves, Accipitriformes, Cathartidae.